Molecule: ribosomal RNA, 253 nt
Filed under: uncultured bacterium
Lineage: Bacteria
Description: partial 16S ribosomal RNA
Rfam family: Bacterial small subunit ribosomal RNA
Source: RNAcentral
UACGUAGGUGGCAAGCGUUGUCCGGAUUUACUGGGCGUAAAGAGCGCGCAGGCGGUCGUUCAAGUCGCGUGUGAAAGCCCCCGGCUCAACUGGGGAGGGUCACGCGAUACUGAUCGACUCGAAGGCAGGAGAGGGAAGUGGAAUUCCCGGUGUAGUGGUGAAAUGCGUAGAGAUCGGGAGGAACACCUGUGGCGAAGGCGGCCGACUGGGCCGACCCUGACGCUGAGGCGCGAAGGCGUGGGGAGCGAACGGG